CGGUUUUACCUUUAACACCAAGGGAUUUGAGAAGAAGGUAUUGUCUAUAAUGGGCAGUACGAAGUUCUGAAAUUCUUAGGCGUUAAAGGUAAGAUAGUGGCGAACGGGUGAGUAACGCGUAGAUAACCUGCCUCGUAGAUGGGGACAACGUCUCGAAAGGGACGCUAAUACCGAAUGUGCUGUACAAUAUGCAUAUAUUGUACAAAAAAGGUGGCGACUAGAAAUAGGCUGCCGCUACGAGAGGGGUCUGCGUCUGAUUAGCUAGUUGGUGUAGUAAAGGUGCACCAAGGCGACGAUCAGUAGCCGGUCUGAGAGGAUGAACGGCCACACUGGGACUGAGACACGGCCCAGACUCCUACGGGAGGCAGCAGUGGGGAAUCUUCCGCAAUGGACGAAAGUCUGACGGAGCAACGCCGCGUGAGUGAAGAAGGUUUUCGGAUCGUAAAACUCUGUCAAUUGGGACGAAUGUGCUGAAGUUUAAGAGAUGUCGGCAAUGACGGUACCAAAGAAGGAAGCCACGGCUAACUACGUGCCAGCAGCCGCGGUAAUACGUAGGUGGCGAGCGUUGUCCGGAAUUAUUGGGCGUAAAGGGCGUGUAGGCGGGUAGUUAAGUCUUAAGUAUAAAUGCGGCGCU
RNAcentral lists this ribosomal RNA (634 nucleotides) under uncultured bacterium. RNAcentral describes it as "bacterial SSU rRNA". It matches the Rfam family "Bacterial small subunit ribosomal RNA", at positions 67 to 609 of the family's 1533-position model. The record is from RNAcentral.